Molecule: non-coding RNA, 181 nt
Filed under: Protocruzia adhaerens
Lineage: Eukaryota; Ciliophora; Spirotrichea
Source: RNAcentral
UAAACCCAAAAAAAGCGGGAGACAUGUUUGGCAAAAUUAAAAAAAAAAAAAUUUUAAGAAAAGCAAAAGAAUUUUCGAAACUCAUCAUUUUUCCUCUCUCUAUCUCUCGCCGUCUCCCCGUUUCGUUUUCUUUUUUUGAAUCGUCGACCUUUUUCUUCCUUUGAUUUUGUGUGAUAUUCUU